UACGAGGGGGGCAAACGUUGUUCGGAAUUACUGGGCGUAAAGCGCGUGUAGGCUGCUUCGCAAGUCUGAUGUGAAAGCCCUGGGCUCAACCCAGGAAGUGCAUUCGAAACUGCAGAGCUGGAGUCCUGGAGAGGAAGGCGGAAUUCUCGGUGUAGAGGUGAAAUUCGUAGAUAUCGAGAGGAACACCGGUGGCGAAGGCGGCCUUCUGGACAGUGACUGACGCUGAGACGCGAAAGCGUGGGGAGCAAACAGG
RNAcentral lists this ribosomal RNA (253 nucleotides) under uncultured bacterium. RNAcentral describes it as "partial 16S ribosomal RNA". It matches the Rfam family "Bacterial small subunit ribosomal RNA", at positions 524 to 776 of the family's 1533-position model. The record is from RNAcentral.